Molecule: long non-coding RNA, 99 nt
Organism: Thalassophryne amazonica
Lineage: Eukaryota; Metazoa; Chordata; Actinopteri; Batrachoidiformes; Batrachoididae
Exons: 3
Source: RefSeq, a predicted model, not a curated record
UUAACAAGAUCUCUGUCUCUUCCUCUGUCCACACGUGCCAUGCCAUUUAUUUUAUGAUGUCAUGUGACUCUUUCUGUACACCAUAUGAACCUGUCUGUA